UCUUGGAUUUCUAGAUCAUAAAGAACUAAUGAUCAUCAGUUUCAGUAUACUCUCACAUUGAAUUGUUUCAACUAUUCUUGGAGUGUUUAGAUCCUCGUGUUUGUCAGGGAUCCCAUCAUAGACAGAGGAAAGAGAGGCGUCUUCUCCCUCAGUCCCUGUGUCACCCGAUGCUCAUUCGUAUCCUGGCAUUUAGGAUAUUAUGUUUGUGAAAUUAUGUUUGCUUCCUGUCUCUCCCAGGGGCUCCUCUGGACAGAAACUAGGGUUUAGUCAUCAUAUGUGCUUCCUGCUAGAAGCCCACAGCCUUGAAUAAUGGCUUCCUGCCUCCUCAAGUCGUUUUAAUAUCCCCAGUGUCUAGCACAGGAACUGGCAUGUGUCGAGCUGCUCAGGAAAUGGUGGGAUCUGAACACCCAGCCCACUGCUGUGCUGGGGCUAUUUGAGGCUUGCUGUCAGGCAGGGAGAUGUUUUUAAUUGGGCUUUCUGCCCUUGUUGAGUCUUCCCUUAAAUAAAGUCCAAAGUCCAAGGGGCAAAUGGCCAGAUGGCCAGAUGCACUGCCCAGUGAGGCAGGGAGCCAAAGGAGCACAGCCCCAUAAGGACCGCCCUUCUCUCUGGGAGAACAGUGGCUAACCUGGAGUCCCUGCCCAGGCUCACCCCAGGCCAGAGCUUCCCAGCUUCCUCCCUUUGCUCACCUCAGGGUUUCUUGCACCCCAUGGAAAGCUAAGAUUUUCCUAACCCUAAAAGAAUGUGCAUUUCACUGCUUUGGAUUGAUGAAUAUCAGUGCCCUUCUUUUAUCUUUCCUGGAGGCCAGAGGGGACUGGGCAGUAAGUGGCAAGUUGUACUUGAGGACACAAAGAAUUUUUCUGUACAUAUUUUACAAAAGACAAGAUCCCUUGAAUAAACAGGACGAUUGUUCCAUUUGAACAUGGGACGGGAAACUAAAAUGCAUUUAAAAUAUUUGGUAUUCAUUUGAACAGGUUGAAUGGAAUGACUUCCUAUGGCCAUGAGUGUGUCUUGCUUUUCAUGUGGACUUGUGUGUGGUUUCUAGAUUGGAGCAAGGUUAUUGUGCUCUGAAUGAGCAACGUGAAGAGCCUCCCCAUGCUGCUCUGGGCAUCUCCACUCUGGGCAAAGCCAUUAGAAAUCCAUAAAACCUCAAGACAUGGUUUUUGGCAAAAAACUCCAUGACUUUAAACUAGUUAUGUUACUAUUGACCCUGCCCAAAGAAAAUAUUUUUCUUGGAAAAAAUUUUUUUCUUCUCAUUUUUUUCCUUUGUAGGUUGGAACAAAGACAGUAGUGCCUUGCAUUAUGCAGAGUAAAAUUUUUUUUUUUUUUAAGUAUUUUGGAGACUACAAGGAUAAUAUUUGAACUUGUCCAAAAGUUUUAUAAAGAGGCUGAGUGUGAAGAACUGUAGAUCUUUAGGUCUGACAUUAAACAUUUUAUUAUAAAGAUUCUCAGGUUUUGUUUUCUAAUUCUCCAAAUCAGAGCCAGUGAUUUUAAAGGGUUUCAUGAUUCUCUCAGACAAAAGUGAUUUUAAUUCAUUAUAAAAAGUGAUAAGCGAUCUGUGCUGUGUAGCAGAUUUAAUAUGGGGGAGGGAAGGACAUCACUGACUUAAACAAUAAUACAGUUUUAUUAGGUGCUUUCUUACUUCACCGUAAAUAUUUGCCUUCUUACUUUCUAAACAGAGGGGUUUGGGGAUUUGUCUUCUGAAGUCUGCAACUUGAAGAAGUGUACACUGUGGGUUGAUUUUUCUGGUCACUAUAUAAAGCAAAUAAACUUAAGACACUUUGUAACCAUGUAUUUACUCUGCCAAGUGCCUAUAUUCCAAUAAAAUGUUCAUCCUUGAA
Galeopterus variegatus (Sunda flying lemur) is the source of this 1838-nucleotide long non-coding RNA. RefSeq lists it as uncharacterized. The record is from RefSeq and is a predicted model, not a curated record. NCBI's taxonomy places the organism in Eukaryota, Metazoa, Chordata, Mammalia, Dermoptera, Cynocephalidae. The transcript has 2 exons.